Molecule: long non-coding RNA, 1523 nt
Organism: Nicotiana attenuata
Lineage: Eukaryota; Viridiplantae; Streptophyta; Magnoliopsida; Solanales; Solanaceae
Exons: 2
Source: RefSeq, a predicted model, not a curated record
UAGCAUAUUGAUAUCUCUUGAAUCUAAACAAGUCAUGAAACAAGGUAUAGUCAUUCUUGAUGGCAUUUCUAAAAGGACGAUCCGACCUAUGCUUCCUAUAGGCUAGAAAAACCAGCCUUCCGAAAUCUUCAACAUCAUCAAUUAACCCAGCUAGUUUUUCUGCAUUGAAUAUUGAGAACAAUUUUCAUCAAAAACCUAUAGUUUAGUCAAAUUAAAGUCAAAAACAUAAUGAUUACUAAAGCUACUCACUACUAUACUCAUCGACUUUGAGUCGUUUUGCCUCACCGCCACUAGUUUCAUCAAUAGGUUCAUCGUCAUACCGAAAAUUGCACACCCUAAGGCUAUCGUCUCUGGUGUUCAAUUUUCGGCUACUGUCUAAAGCCAAAGAUAUUGAGAAAAUUAGUGCGCCGGAGAGGGUAGCCUUAGGGUGUGUAAUUUUCGGUAUGACGAUAAACCUAUUGAUGAAAUUAGUGGCGGUGAGGCAAAACGACUCAAAGUCGAUGAGGGUAGUAGUGAGUAGCUUUAGUAAUCAUUAUGUUUUUUACUUUAAUUUGACUAUAACGAUAGGUUUUUGAUGAAAAUUGUUCUCAAUAUUCAAUGCAGAAAACUAGUUGGGUUAAUUGAUGAUGUUGAAGUCUUCGGAAGACUGGUUUCUCUAGCCUAUAGGAAGCAUAGGCCGGAUCGUCCUUUUAGAAAUGCCAUCAAGAAUGACUAUACAUUGUUUCAUGACUUGUUUAGAUUCAAGAGAUAUCAAUAUGCUAACCCUAGGUAUUUCAAUUUUAUGGCAUAUUUAUUGUUAGCUUUUUGUUAAGGACGUAAACGUAAUUAUUUAUUUGGCUGUCUUAGGGAAUUUGUUGAAAACAUAUCUAGCUGGAUAUACCAGGCUAGUUGCUUUUGGAACCAUGUUAAAGUUGGCGUCUUUUUUUAUGCAUUUAAUGAGUUGCUACAUUCAAAUAGCGAGAAGCUUCUGCGUAAUCGCUUCCUUAAAGCAGACUUUUUUGGUUGGAAAAAAGGAUAGAAGAGAAAGGAAUAUAUGAAAUGUAUCGCUGCCUGACGUAUGAGGACAUAGAACCUAAAAUGUAUAGGAGGGCCUUUGGAAUCAUAAGAUUUUUAAGGAAUUACAAGGCACACUACAAAGGCAAUCGUUUUGCUGAUAAGGCUUUACGAGAAGUUAUGAAGUUGUUUUCCCAUUUGCUUGGGUGUUCCUAUAAUCAACUUUUCUUAAAGUUGAAGGGAUUAAACAUUCAGAAUAUGGAAGGGCAUGAAAACACAACGAUAAGCCUUAGAAGAUGAUGUCUUAGUCUUGGAAGAUGAUGCAGGGGAAUCAAAAGCGUGGCUGAUUAUAUUUGUACUCCAGGCUUUUGCUACAUUACUUUUAGCCAUUAGUUUAGAUAAAUAGUAAAGGAGGAUAAAAAACUUGUUGUAAACAUUUAUACUUUAAGUCGUAUCAUUUGGAAAUGAUAUGUUUGGAAAUGAUAAAUCGUAUGUUGGAUUGUUAUAAUUCGAAAAACAAAUUUUUGUUU